GGUUUCAUGGUGUAGUUGGUUAUCACGUUAGUCUAACACACUGAAGGUCUCCGGUUUGAGGACGGGCGAAGCCA
Transfer RNA from Gossypium arboreum, 74 nucleotides. It matches the Rfam family "tRNA". From Rfam's summary of the family: Transfer RNA (tRNA) molecules are approximately 80 nucleotides in length. Their secondary structure includes four short double-helical elements and three loops (D, anti-codon, and T loops). The record is from Rfam. NCBI's taxonomy places the organism in Eukaryota, Viridiplantae, Streptophyta, Magnoliopsida, Malvales, Malvaceae.